CGGAGGGGGCGAGCGUUAUUCGGAAUUAUUGGGCGUAAAGGGCGCGUAGGCGGCUGUACAAGUCAAAGGUGAAAUCCCUCGGCUCAACUGAGGAACUGCCUUUGAAACUGUACGGCUUGAGGCCGGGAGGGGGUAGCGGAAUUCCCAGUGUAGCGGUGAAAUGCGUAGAUAUCUGGAGGAACACCGGUGGCGAAAGCGGCGCGCUGGACCACUACUGACGCUGAGGAACGAAAGCUAGGGGAGCAAACAGGA
This 252-nucleotide ribosomal RNA is filed under the name uncultured prokaryote. RNAcentral's name for it is "partial 16S ribosomal RNA". It matches the Rfam family "Bacterial small subunit ribosomal RNA", at positions 526 to 777 of the family's 1533-position model. The record is from RNAcentral.